UGUACGGGCGAGCGAGCAACUUGUGUGCGUGUGCGUGUGUUUCACUAUUAAAGCACGUAUAUAUAGAAUCGAAAUGAAUGAAUAAAACUCGCUGGCGGCACGAGACCCCAAAAAAGAGGCGAGAGAGCGCCAAAUUAAUGACGUGCACGCCAAAAGAGAAGAGAGAGCAACAUGUGUUGUUGGGAGAGAGAAUAAAGAUAAGGCAUUUCGUGUGCGGCGAACGUGAUUGCCACAGUGGGACUAAAACUCGAAUUUUAUGACCACAAAAUCCGCUGGGAGAUAAGCACAGGGGAUUCCUACGAAAUGAUUGGCAAAUUUGACAGAUUGCCUUUGUUUAGGCAGGGGAUAUGUUUAGCAGCGAAUCAUGCACUAAAAUAUAAAUUUACCCCGCGAUUGCAUGGCUAAAGUUUAAUCACGAAAGCCGGAGGAAAACCCCAAACGACAACAAUUGCGACUGGCGUAGCUGGUGAAACUAUUUUUAAGAUACUUUUGUAAGCACUGCAUUGGGGAAUCCAUGGCGGAGUGGCGGCUGUGAAAUGAAAUGGAAUGUUAAGUAGAAAUCAAAUAAAUAAACAAUUGGAAUUGAAAGACUACUGCUUACAGCAUGGAACUGCUCACAUUCCAAUUGUGGGAUAGGAAUUUGGUUAUAUCUUCUGUAAAUAAAUUCUUUAUCUUUAUUUAGGAAAUAUUUUGCAUUUCAGUUUGGCAAUUAUUUACUUGCAAAUAUGUGACUUCAUAUAUAUUACA
Molecule: long non-coding RNA, 747 nt
Organism: Drosophila mauritiana
Lineage: Eukaryota; Metazoa; Arthropoda; Insecta; Diptera; Drosophilidae
Exons: 3
Source: RefSeq, a predicted model, not a curated record